CGGCGGACGGGUGAGUAACGCGUGGGUAACCUGCCUCAUACAGGGGGAUAACAGUCAGAAAUGACUGCUAAUACCGCAUAAGACCACGGUACCGCAUGGUACAGUGGUAAAAACUCCGGUGGUAUGAGAUGGACCCGCGUCUGAUUAGGUAGUUGGUGAGGUAACGGCCCACCAAGCCGACGAUCAGUAGCCGACCUGAGAGGGUGACCGGCCACAUUGGGACUGAGACACGGCCCAG
Molecule: ribosomal RNA, 238 nt
Filed under: uncultured bacterium
Lineage: Bacteria
Description: partial 16S ribosomal RNA
Rfam family: Bacterial small subunit ribosomal RNA
Source: RNAcentral